This 484-nucleotide ribosomal RNA is filed under the name uncultured bacterium. RNAcentral describes it as "partial 16S ribosomal RNA". It matches the Rfam family "Bacterial small subunit ribosomal RNA", at positions 30 to 507 of the family's 1533-position model. The record is from RNAcentral.
AUUGAACGCUGGCGGCAGGCCUAACACAUGCAAGUCGAGCGGAUGAAGGGAGCUUGCUCCUGGCUUCAGCGGCGGACGGGUGAGUAAUGCCUAGGAAUCUGCCUGGUAGUGGGGGAUAACGUCCGGAAACGGGCGCUAAUACCGCAUACGUCCUGAGGGAGAAAGUGGGGGAUCUUCGGACCUCACGCUAUCAGAUGAGCCUAGGUCGGAUUAGCUAGUUGGUGGGGUAAAGGCCUACCAAGGCGACGAUCCGUAACUGGUCUGAGAGGAUGAUCAGUCACACUGGAACUGAGACACGGUCCAGACUCCUACGGGAGGCAGCAGUGGGGAAUAUUGGACAAUGGGCGAAAGCCUGAUCCAGCCAUGCCGCGUGUGUGAAGAAGGUCUUCGGAUUGUAAAGCACUGUAAGUUGGGAGGAAGGGCAGUAAGUUAAUACCUUGCUGUUUUGACGUUACCAACAGAAUAAGCACCGGCUAACUUCGUG